AGAAGAAUACUUCCUCAAGCUAUUUAGUUUUGAGAGUUGAAACAACGUGUUUCAACUGCACUUGCAUAUUUGGAGCUUAUUUGGGUGAACCAAACCUCUAAUUUCUUGUCGCUUUUUCUCUCUCAAGGGGCAAGGUACAACAAUGAGUCCAUAUAUAAACACUUUCAGUUGAUUAGAAGAGACUUCCAACAAUACAACACAGAGACAGAAGUUAGUUAGAUAUCCUGCAACAAAAAGAAACAAAAACAGUGAGUCCGUAUAUAAACACUUUCAGCUGAUUAGAAAAGACUUCCAACAUUAAUACACCACAAAGAUUUCCCAUCAACACAGAGAACUGCGAUCA
Molecule: long non-coding RNA, 343 nt
Filed under: Brassica napus (rape)
Lineage: Eukaryota; Viridiplantae; Streptophyta; Magnoliopsida; Brassicales; Brassicaceae
Description: long non-coding RNA (BNAP_LNC018548)
Source: RNAcentral